RNAcentral lists this ribosomal RNA (421 nucleotides) under Fusobacteriota bacterium. RNAcentral describes it as "Fusobacteria bacterium partial 16S ribosomal RNA". It matches the Rfam family "Bacterial small subunit ribosomal RNA", at positions 355 to 776 of the family's 1533-position model. The record is from RNAcentral. Lineage: Bacteria; Fusobacteriati; Fusobacteriota.
UGGGGAAUUUUGCACAAUGGGGGGAACCUUGAUGCAGCGACGCCGCGUGAGGGAUGGAGGCCUUCGGGUUGUGAACCUCUUUCGCUCGUGUGCAAGCCGCUAUUUGGGUAGUGGUGAGUGUAGCGGGUAAAGAAGCGCCGGCUAACUACGUGCCAGCAGCCGCGGUAAUACGUAGGGCGCGAGCGUUGUCCGGAUUUAUUGGGCGUAAAGGGCUUGUAGGCGGUUUGUCGCGCCUGUCGUGUAAUCCUCUGGCUUAACUGGGGGUGUGCGGUGGGUACGGGCAGGCUUGAGUGCGGUAGUGGAGAUUGGAAUUCCUGGUGUAGCGGUGGAAUGCGCAGAUAUCAGGAGGAACACCGGUGGCGAAGGCGGGUCUCUGGGCCGUUACUGACGCUGAGGAGCGAAAGCGUGGGGAGCGAACAGG